AUUGAACGCUGGCGGCAGGCCUAACACAUGCAAGUCGAGCGGAUGAAGGGAGCUUGCUCCUGGAUUCAGCGGCGGACGGGUGAGUAAUGCCUAGGAAUCUGCCUGGUAGUGGGGGAUAACGUCCGGAAACGGGCGCUAAUACCGCAUACGUCCUGAGGGAGAAAGUGGGGGAUCUUCGGACCUCACGCUAUCAGAUGAGCCUAGUUCGGAUUAGCUAGUUGGUGGGGUAAAGGCCUACCAAGGCGACGAUCCGUAACUGGUCUGAGAGGAUGAUCAGUCACACUGGAACUGAGACACGGUCCAGACUACUACGGGAGGCAGCAGUGGGGAAUAUUGGACAAUGGGCGAAAGCCUGAUCCAGCCAUGCCGAGUGUGUGAAGAAGGUCUUCGGAUUGUAAAGCACUUUAAGUUGGGAGGAAGGGCAGUAAGUUAAUACCUUGCUGUUUUGACGUUACCAACAGAAUAAGCACCGGCUAACUUCGUG
RNAcentral lists this ribosomal RNA (484 nucleotides) under uncultured bacterium. RNAcentral's name for it is "partial 16S ribosomal RNA". It matches the Rfam family "Bacterial small subunit ribosomal RNA", at positions 30 to 507 of the family's 1533-position model. The record is from RNAcentral.